This 253-nucleotide ribosomal RNA is filed under the name uncultured bacterium. Its description in RNAcentral is "partial 16S ribosomal RNA". It matches the Rfam family "Bacterial small subunit ribosomal RNA", at positions 524 to 776 of the family's 1533-position model. The record is from RNAcentral.
UACGGGGGGGGCAAGCGUUGUUCGGAAUUACUGGGCGUAAAGGGCUCGUAGGUGGCCAACUAAGUCGGACGUGAAAUCCCUCGGCUUAACCGGGGAACUGCAUCCGAUACUGGAUGGCUUGAGUUCGGGAGAGGGAUGUGGAAUUCCAGGUGUAGCGGUGAAAUGCGUAGAUAUCUGGAGGAACACCGGUGGCGAAGGCGGCAUCCUGGACCGACACUGACACUGAGGAGCGAAAGCCAGGGGAGCAAACGGG